GAAACUCAGGCUAAUACCGCAUAAUCUCUACGGAGGAAAGACUUCGGUCGCUACUGGAUGAGCCUAUGUCUGAUUAGCUUGUUGGUGGGGUAAUGGCCUACCAAGGCAACGAUCAGUAGCUGGUCUGAGAGGACGACCAGCCACACUGGGACUGAGACACGGCCCAGACUCCUACGGGAGGCAGCAGUGGGGAAUAUUGCACAAUGGGCGAAAGCCUGAUGCAGCAAUGCCGCGUGUGUGAAGAAGGCCUGCGGGUUGUAAAGCACUUUCAGUAGGGAGGAUUAUGACGUUACCUACAGAAGAAGCACCGGCUAACUCUGUGCCAGCAGCCGCGGUAAUACAGAGGGUGCGAGCGUUAAUCGGAAUUACUGGGCGUAAAGCGCGCGUAGGCGGCUUGGUCAGUCGGAUGUGAAAGCCCCGGGCUUAACCUGGGAAUUGCAUUCGAUACUGCCAGGCUGGAGUGUAGUAGAGGGAAGCGGAAUUCCGGGUGUAGCGGUGAAAUGCGUAGAGAUCCGGAGGAACAUCAGUGGCGAAGGCGGCUUCCUGGACUAACACUGACGCUGAGGUGCGAAAGCGUGGGGAGCA
RNAcentral lists this ribosomal RNA (585 nucleotides) under uncultured bacterium. Its description in RNAcentral is "bacterial SSU rRNA". It matches the Rfam family "Bacterial small subunit ribosomal RNA", at positions 153 to 770 of the family's 1533-position model. The record is from RNAcentral.